Coturnix japonica (Japanese quail) is the source of this 6426-nucleotide non-coding RNA. NCBI's taxonomy places the organism in Eukaryota, Metazoa, Chordata, Aves, Galliformes, Phasianidae. The record is from RefSeq and is a predicted model, not a curated record.
CACAAUUAGUCACAUUUAGUUUUGGAGAAAAGCUUUUCCUAAUUUAUCAGCAGAGAAUAUUUGCGGUGUAUCAGAUCUCCAAGAGAUGGAAAGACAUUGCUCACCUCUUCUCAGAUCCUGACUGUCCAGUGGCUUUUCCGAUGGUUUCUGUCUUUCCCCUCGUUCUGUCACAGCAGACCCUUCUAAAGAGUCCGUCCCCUUCUUUUCCACAGGUGCCCUUCACAUAUUGACAGGCUGCUCUCAGCUCACCUCACAGCCUUCCUUUCUCCAGGGUGAAGAGCCCCAGCUCCCUCAGCCUGUCCUGAUAGGAGAGAUGUUCCAUCCCUUGGUUUGUAUUUGUGGUCCUCCUCUGGAUGUGCUCCAACAUCUCCGUGUCUCUCCUGCACUGAGGACUCCAUAUCUGGACACCGUACUCCAUGUGAGGCCCCACCUGCACGGAGCAGGGGGUGGAUCACCUUCCCAGCACUGCCGGCAGUGCUUUCUUUUGAUGCAACACAAGUUUCUGGGCUGUGAGGGUUCAUUGCUGGUCUCAUGUCCAGCUUGCCAUCCGCCAGUAUCCCCAAGUCUUUUUGGGCAGGACUAAGCUCAGUCUUUUUAUCCCCCAGCUUUAAUUGGUAAUGGGGGUUGCCUCGACCCAGGUGCAAGACCUUGCACUUGGAUUUGCUGAACCUCAUGAGGUUCACCUGGGCCCACUGCUCAGCCUGUCCAGGUCCCCCUGGAUGGCAUCCCGUCCCUCUGGUGUGUCAGCCACACUCUGCAGCUUGGCAUCAUCAUCAGACUUGCCGAGGGUGCACUCAACCCCACUGCUGAUGUCACUGAUGAAGAUAUUAAAGAGUAUUGGCCCCAGCACCGACCCCCAAGAGACACCACUUGUCAUUGAUCUCCCUCCAAAUGUGGAGCCAUUUGUGCCCACUCUCUGGACUUGAUUCUACAGCCAGUUUUUCAUCCAUUGAGGAGUCAGCUCAUCAAAUCUGUAUCUUUUCAAUUUGGAGAGAAGGAUGUUGUGGGGUACUGUGUCAAAGGCCUUACUGAAGUCCAGAUAGAUGACAUCAGUGGUUCUUCCCUUGUCCACUGAUGCAGAGAUGCCAUCAUGAAAGGUUUGUCAAGCAGAAUUUGCCCUCCCGUAUCACAUCUGUACUUUCCAUGUGCCAUAGCAUAGCUUCCAUGAGGAUCUGUGCCAAGAUCCUUCUCAGCAGAGAGGCGAGACAAACAGGCUGGUAGUUUCCUGGGUCAUCCUUUACAUGUAUUAAAAAUGUCUGUGAGGUCUUGUUUCUGCUCACCAGGGACUUCACCCGAUUGCCACAACUCUUCAAACGUCAUUGAUAGUGGCUUGGUGAGUACGUCAGCUAAAUCCCUAUGAGGACCCACAGACUUCUGGAUGUUUGGGUUCCUCAGGAGGUUCUGCAGCUGAUCCCUGCUCACGGUGUGUGCUUGGAGAGGGCGGGGGGCACAUCCCCAACCCCUUCCUGACAAACCAGACAUUGCAGGACUAUGUGACGAGCAGUUAGCAGAGAAGAAAGAGAUGAAGAAGUUGCCGAGUCCCUCAGACUUUGUGUCUGUUGUGAGCAGCUCCAGGAUUCAUGGGUGGAAAAUGUACUGCUGCUGAGAGACCAACAGAAUGAAUCAAGGCCAGCAGCAGUCAGUCAGCGCAAAGAGCUCCUGGCCUCGGGUCUCACUUGCUCCGACUCACUGGAAAAUAUCCCCCCCAGACUUGCAGGUUUUCCUCCUUGCAGGAGUUCUAGUAACAAGGACUUGCAACAGACUGCCAGCCUGGGCUUCACCAGAGCUGGAGCUGACAGGGAGCCCUCUGGGUUUUCAAAAAGAAACAAGAAGGCUGAGAAUCAGGUGCUUUGUUUGACGUUUUUACUGGCUGUCCCACUUGGUUCUGUUGGUCUGUGGGCACGUUGGGUUGGUCUGUGUGGAGCUGAGCAGCUCGGUGCUUAUGGCUUUGAUCCCGUGGACGUUUACAAGGCUUGGGUGAACCGGGUGGAAUCUCAGAGCGGUGAGGCCAGGUACAGAAGCCGUUCAUUGCUCGGCUGUUUUGCGUUGCUCUGUUAAUUCUUCCAUGCCAUCUUUGGCUUCACUGCUCACAUCCGUCCAAGUGAUGGCAGCUUUUUCAUGCAAACAUGUAAUUUGAUUAUUUAUUAACAGAUAUUCAUAAGCGCUUAGCACAGCUUUGCUGGGAAUGGAAAAGGUUUCCUUGGUUUUCUGUGUCUUUUUUUAAUUCACGUAUUUUUUCUCCUCUCCCCCCUCCCAACUGCUUCUUUCCUCCGCCCUCACGACAAAUAGAGCGGAGCUCCAGCUCCGCGCUGCGGGCGCCCGUCGAUCCGCUCGGAAAAGUAUUUUCCGCCGUCUGUGCUGCCACCUCGUGGCCGCUCGGUGGAAUUGCGGCCGUGUGUUUGUGCUGCCGCAGGUUGCGCGGGCACGCAGAAACGGUGCGCGGACGUUUUAUUUGCACUACAAAUCCGCCGAUCUUUCUUGUGCUUAGUCCUCCAGACAACAGUGCACGUGAGCCAGGACCCCUAUAGACAGCAUCCAUUUCUACGGUGCCGCGAGGUGCGGGCGAACAGACAUUUGGACCGCCGGCUCAGCGCUCCUUUUCUCUCUUCCAACCCACGGUGCCACAGCCCGCAAUUCUUUAUUUCCUCGGGCUGUUUUGCGCCCCGUGCACGGGCAGCUUUGGCUCCUUGCGAACCCUGCGCCCGUCGCACGCGAAAUGAGGAGUCGAAAAUACAGCUGUAGGUGCGCACCCGAAAACCUGUGUGCGGCACGAUGCCGCACGGCGCCGCGGGGGGGUGCGGGGCCGAGACCCAGACACGCGUGGUGCGGCGCUCACUAUGGCGCCCCUGGGGAUGCUGCGGUGCCGGUGCCGCUUCACGCCAGAACCGCGACCUUGAAGCUCCGAGCUGCUCCAAUUCCUCCGCCGCUGAAGGAGCCUUUGGGCGGCUGCGGGGCCGGGCUGGGAGGCGACGUUUGCUGAUCCACGGCGGCAGUGACCAAACUGGACGGCACGAGGCGCUCAGGGGCCGCCGUGAGCCGAACCGGACCGUUCCCGUGGUGGGCUCGGGCAUAAAAAGGCGGACAGAGCCAGCUGUCAGUUGUCGGGCGCAUGUGCGCUAUUACCUGGAGGACUGAACGCAAUAGAGAGCGGCGGAUUAGCUGCGUAGAGCGGUUAAAACGCCACUUCCGCAUUUCUACGCGCACGCGUGUUGCGGCCGGCAGAACUAAGGAACGGACAGCGGCAGUUCCACGCUGUGACCACAAGGUGGCAGCAGAGACCGCGGAAAGAAAACAGACGGGACGGGGAGGAAUCGCGGCGCUGCCCCGGGCGCUUCCCUUUAGGUACUGAAAGGCUGUUACCAGGCCACCUCAGAUCUUUCACUCCUCCAAAUGGAACGGCCCCAGCUCUAUCAGCCUGACUACGUAAGAGAGGUGUUCCCUUGGAUCAUUUUUUGUGGCCCUUCUCUGGAUGUGCUCCAACAGCUCUAUGUCUCUCCUGCACUGAGGACUCCACAUCUGGAUGCAGUGCUCCAGGUGAGGCCUCACCAGCGCAGAGUGGAGGGUCAGGAUCACCUGCUGAUGACGCAUCUUUGGAUGCAGCACAGGAUCAGAAAAAAGAGGAGCACUUGGCAACUUGUCCAGACUGAGUGGUGCAGGGAAGACUGCUGCAUUUCUUUCUCUUCUGGUCCAGAAAUUCUUUUUCUUAACUUCAAAAGAAAAGGGAAAAAGAGCCUGACAUAAUGUAGACACAAUAUGGUCUUACAUCACAGUUAGAAGCAGGAGAGCUUUUGUGGCACAAAGCUCGGGGCUGGAGAAAUUAAGGUUGCCUCUAAGAUGGUGCUUUCAAACAACGUGAAUUAUUGGGCAUGAGACAUGCAAGGCAAGGGUAAGUGCACAAUAUCAGCGCUUCAUGUAGAGCACAUCACACAGCUGGAGGCACAGUGCAGAAGAAUCAGACAGCACCUGAGAGGAAACAGUUCAGGAAAGAAAACCUUACCCUGUGAACACAGCCACAAGCUGCAUUUCCAGUCAAGAUUGGAGCUCAAGAGGUCAGCACAACAGAUAUAACACGAGGUACAACUGGAAGAUGUGUCUCCACACCGAGAAAAAACAACUCACCAACCAAGAGCCAGGUCUUGCUAAUUCAGAUGAUCUGAGCAUGUGGGAGGGGGCCGGACAUCAGACCACAAGUGUCCAUUUCCACUGCAGCUCCAUCUAGAGAAGAGCACCAAUCAGCAGGUGAGAAUGAAUUCAUUCACAGGCUGCACAAUGAGUCUGUUCUUUAGACAGAGAAGCCCACAUUGAUUCCCCCCCAAAAAGGGGAACGGCAGGAGCUAAUACGGACCAAAGAGGUUCUUGUUCCUACGCCUCAUCCUCUUACCCCAAGUCCUGGAUGAUGCCCAUGGGCUUCAAGUCAGGUCUCAAAUCCAUUGGACUCCCAUAACAACUCUAUCAAAAACGUUGUCAACUUUGUGACACUCACAUACGGUACAAAGCAAGGAGAGGCUCUUUUGUUAAAUCUUUCAAUAGAGAAAAGAGUUGAUAUCCACUUAUCCCGACAACAGAAACACGGUACCAGCUUUCCAAGGCCACCUGCCUACAGUAGGAGGACAACGCACACGUAAAGGAGCACGCACAUCCCAUCCGGCAUAACUCGAGCCCACAACCCACCUUCAGAUCUCUGUGGAUUUCCCUUGUUUUACACCGAUGCAGCCUCGAUGCAGCUUCAUGGGUGUCACACAAGGCUUGCAGGACCUCUUUCUCUGCAAACCCCACCCGCAGGCCUUGCUCCAUGAGGAUUGCCACCUGCCCUCCUGAGCAAAAACAAGCACUAAGAACGAGAGCAAAGCACACUGGAUUCGCCCUGGCCUGGCCCAAACCCCAGUCCUACCACACAGACCCUGGGAUGCAGAUUGCUCCACAAACCCCGGAUGGACACCACUAAACAAGAAGUUGAUCGGAUACAGUCCCAAGCAAGCAACAAGCCUCCCCAGAAAGCUCUUUGCCAUCAGCUCCAUCAUCGCCUUUCCUUUCCUCCACACCUCAAUCCCAAAGUGGUUUCCACGUCUGCCAGCACGUGUUACCUCCCACCUGCUUGUCGCACAGUGCUUCAACAGCACCAAAUUUGCUUCCAGGGCCCUCCUUCACCUCACUGUGCUAACACUCAUGAUUCAAAUUACACAGAAAUCCUAGCAGAAGUUCUCAGUGAGAACUGCACCUAACAUUCCUCCUUCUACAAGCAAACAGGCCCAACACGUGGUCAUGAAAAUGCUUUCAUCAAAAAGAAGCAGAGAUGGCACGGCAGGACAGACGUACUCGGUGUGCACGUUUGAAGCCAUUUGAGAACCUAGUCGUUCUUGCUGCAGGACCCCUGACUUCUGUUAAAAGCUGAACGGUCCCCAGAGCACCUGUUUCCAUCAGCUGCCACCAUCCAAAGCAGCCAGCCUUCUUACAGUCACCUGGCCCAAACAUCCCUUUUUCUCUACACGUGAUUCCUGCAAGAGAGACAGGAGCUAGACAUGCACACCAUCCUUCCAACACCCCAUCCCAGCAGCAAGGGAUCACAGCGCUGGCACAGCUGAAACAAAAAGGGUGUGCGAGUUUCCUGUUAGAACUCAGUGUGAACAAAUCUACCACUGAGCAACACCCUGAGCCCCCACUCACCUCAGCAGAGGUCAGCCUGCACCCCAGCCUUCCGCCUAUCCAUGUGCACACGCACACACGUGCAAUGCUCUGCCCCUUCUGCACACCCACGUGCACGCACCACAUCUUGUGCCCUCCUUUGCAUUCACAGACAUGUGCAAACCACCCCUGGGAACACCUACGUGCCAACAAAUACCACAAAACAUCCCUUUGUCUGCACCUGUGUGCAACCCAACUCCUCACACACCCCUGUGCAAGCACACAAUUGUGCCACCGCGUCCAUGCACUAUCCAUGUGCUCACACACACUCACGCAACCACAUCCCUUAGUGCAGCCCUGUGCGCACACACAGACACAUGUGCAGCCCCUUUCUUUCACUCCCAAAGUGCACGCACACACCGGUACCACAAUGUCCUUGUGCAGCUCCAACACUCUGCACACCCCUGUGCACGUACAUAUAUGUGCAUGCUCGUCCUUGCACACAUACCCACAGACCUACACACACCUGAGCAACACCACUGGUUUGUACACUCAUGGACACAAAUAUGUGCAACAGCACCUGUGCACAAAUACACACACACAAACUCAUGGAACCCCACUGCUUUGCACAAUCCUGUGCACACUCACGUGUGUCAUGCACUGAUUUCCCAGCCAGUCCUCGUGGGGUCUCUUACUUAGGACGGGAGUGCAGGGGAGCAGCCAGAAGCUGUUUGCAUUCCCUGCUGUCUGCUGGGCAGCUUUGCUGGAGAUGCUUGGGUUGCUUUGUUUUUCCUUGGGAGGUGG